RNAcentral lists this ribosomal RNA (328 nucleotides) under uncultured eukaryote. Its description in RNAcentral is "partial 18S ribosomal RNA". It matches the Rfam family "Eukaryotic small subunit ribosomal RNA", at positions 1470 to 1796 of the family's 1831-position model. The record is from RNAcentral.
CCCUUAGAUGUUCUGGGCUGCACGCGCGCUACACUGAUGCGCUCAACAAGUUUAUGACCUUGCCCGGAAGGGUUGGGUAAUCUUCUUAGCACGCAUCGUGAUGGGGAUAGAUUAUUGCAAUUAUUAAUCUUCAACGAGGAAUUCCUAGUAAGCGCGAGUCAUCAGCUCGUGCUGAUUACGUCCCUGCCCUUUGUACACACCGCCCGUCGCUCCUACCGAUUGGGUGUGCUGGUGAAAUGUUCGGAUCGGCCGUUUGCCGCGGUUUCCGCGUCAUGUGGCUGAGAAGUUCAUUAAACCCUCCCACCUAGAGGAAGGAGAAGUCGUAACA